CUCCUGCCACGAUAAAUUUACUUAGAAAUAUCAAACCACCAAAUUUAUGUAACUGGACCCGACUACAAGUCAAAUUUCUUCACAAUAACGUGAUCGUUGCAAUAGUUUUGACUGGUCCAGCGAUUGGUCAAACAGUGCUUAAACCUUUCAUCCCAAUAAUUCCAAAUGAUUUACCUUUUAAUUUCAAAAGAAUUCAAUUUCCUGUUUAGUUAUCUUUUGCCGUAACAAUUAAUAAAUCACAGGGGCAAACAUUUAAACAUAUAGGAAUCGAUUUACGUUCACACGGCCGACUAUUUUUCAUUUGUCGCGUUGUCGAGAUCGGGUUGCUGAGAAAAUCAGUAUGUUCUUCUGCAACAAGAAAAUAAAACUAAAAAUAUAAUUUACGCAGAAAUACUUUAAAAUAUUAUAUUAUUUUAA
Long non-coding RNA from Vanessa atalanta (red admiral), 417 nucleotides. RefSeq lists it as uncharacterized. The transcript is spliced from 3 exons. NCBI's taxonomy places the organism in Eukaryota, Metazoa, Arthropoda, Insecta, Lepidoptera, Nymphalidae. The record is from RefSeq and is a predicted model, not a curated record.